RNAcentral lists this ribosomal RNA (1524 nucleotides) under Klebsiella pneumoniae. RNAcentral describes it as "bacterial SSU rRNA". It matches the Rfam family "Bacterial small subunit ribosomal RNA". The record is from RNAcentral. Lineage: Bacteria; Pseudomonadati; Pseudomonadota; Gammaproteobacteria; Enterobacterales; Enterobacteriaceae.
AAAUUGAAGAGUUUGAUCAUGGCUCAGAUUGAACGCUGGCGGCAGGCCUAACACAUGCAAGUCGAGCGGUAGCACAGAGAGCUUGCUCUCGGGUGACGAGCGGCGGACGGGUGAGUAAUGUCUGGGAAACUGCCUGAUGGAGGGGGAUAACUACUGGAAACGGUAGCUAAUACCGCAUAACGUCGCAAGACCAAAGUGGGGGACCUUCGGGCCUCAUGCCAUCAGAUGUGCCCAGAUGGGAUUAGCUAGUAGGUGGGGUAACGGCUCACCUAGGCGACGAUCCCUAGCUGGUCUGAGAGGAUGACCAGCCACACUGGAACUGAGACACGGUCCAGACUCCUACGGGAGGCAGCAGUGGGGAAUAUUGCACAAUGGGCGCAAGCCUGAUGCAGCCAUGCCGCGUGUGUGAAGAAGGCCUUCGGGUUGUAAAGCACUUUCAGCGGGGAGGAAGGCGAUAAGGUUAAUAACCUUGUCGAUUGACGUUACCCGCAGAAGAAGCACCGGCUAACUCCGUGCCAGCAGCCGCGGUAAUACGGAGGGUGCAAGCGUUAAUCGGAAUUACUGGGCGUAAAGCGCACGCAGGCGGUCUGUCAAGUCGGAUGUGAAAUCCCCGGGCUCAACCUGGGAACUGCAUUCGAAACUGGCAGGCUAGAGUCUUGUAGAGGGGGGUAGAAUUCCAGGUGUAGCGGUGAAAUGCGUAGAGAUCUGGAGGAAUACCGGUGGCGAAGGCGGCCCCCUGGACAAAGACUGACGCUCAGGUGCGAAAGCGUGGGGAGCAAACAGGAUUAGAUACCCUGGUAGUCCACGCCGUAAACGAUGUCGAUUUGGAGGUUGUGCCCUUGAGGCGUGGCUUCCGGAGCUAACGCGUUAAAUCGACCGCCUGGGGAGUACGGCCGCAAGGUUAAAACUCAAAUGAAUUGACGGGGGCCCGCACAAGCGGUGGAGCAUGUGGUUUAAUUCGAUGCAACGCGAAGAACCUUACCUGGUCUUGACAUCCACAGAACUUAGCAGAGAUGCUUUGGUGCCUUCGGGAACUGUGAGACAGGUGCUGCAUGGCUGUCGUCAGCUCGUGUUGUGAAAUGUUGGGUUAAGUCCCGCAACGAGCGCAACCCUUAUCCUUUGUUGCCAGCGGUUAGGCCGGGAACUCAAAGGAGACUGCCAGUGAUAAACUGGAGGAAGGUGGGGAUGACGUCAAGUCAUCAUGGCCCUUACGACCAGGGCUACACACGUGCUACAAUGGCAUAUACAAAGAGAAGCGACCUCGCGAGAGCAAGCGGACCUCAUAAAGUAUGUCGUAGUCCGGAUUGGAGUCUGCAACUCGACUCCAUGAAGUCGGAAUCGCUAGUAAUCGUAGAUCAGAAUGCUACGGUGAAUACGUUCCCGGGCCUUGUACACACCGCCCGUCACACCAUGGGAGUGGGUUGCAAAAGAAGUAGGUAGCUUAACCUUCGGGAGGGCGCUUACCACUUUGUGAUUCAUGACUGGGGUGAAGUCGUAACAAGGUAACCGUAGGGGAACCUGCGG